UGGGUCUCGCUCGUUGCCUGACUUAACAGGAUGCUUCACAGUACGAACUGACGACGGCCAUGCACCACCUCUCAGCUAAUCCGGCAAAGUCUUCAGCCUGGCCUUCAUAUUGCUGUCGGUCCCGGUAAGAUUUCCGGCGUUGAAUCCAAUUAAACCGCAAGCUCCACCCGUUGUGGUGCUCCCCCGCCAAUUCCUUUAAGUUUCAGCCUUGCGGCCGUACUUCCCAGGUGGCUCGCUUCACGGCUUCCCUACGGCACCGACAACGGUCGCACCGUGGCCGACACCUAGCGAGUAUCGUUUACGGCUAGGACUACCCGGGUAUCUAAUCCGGUUCGUGCCCCUAGCUUUCGUCCCUUGCCGUCAGGUCCGUUCUGGUGAGACGCCUUCGCCACUGGUGGUCCUUCAAGGAUUACAAGAUUUCACCCCUACCCCUGAAGGUACCUCUCACCUCUCCCGGUCCUCAAGCCAAACAGUAUCCCCUAGAAAGCCUGACAGUUAAGCUGCCAGAUUUCCCAAGAGACUUAUCCUGGCCGGCUACAGACCCUUUAGACCCAAUAAUAACGGUUACCACUCGAGCCGCCGGUGUUACCGCGGCGGCUGGCACCGGUCUUGCCCGGCCCUUGCUAUGACAGAUGCUUUUUAGGCAUCUCGACAGCCAGACAUUAUAACCUGGCACUCGAGAUCCCCUUAUCACGGUUGCCAGCAUUGUAAAGUUUUCGCGCCUGCUGCGCCCCGUAGGGCCUGGAUUCAUGUCUCAGAAUCCAUCUCCGGGCUCUUGCUCUCACAACCCGUACCCGUUGUUGGCUAGUAGGUACAUUACACCCACUACUACCUGAUAGGCCGCAGACCCAUCCUUGGGCGGACGAAUCCAUUUUACGCAUAAAGCAUUCCAGCAUAUGUGCGUUAUCCGGAAUUAUCCCCAGUUUCCCGGGGUUAUGCCGGACCCAAGGGCAGGUUAUCCACGUGUUACUGAGCAGUACGCCAUGUUCACGAAGAACAUAUGACUCGCAUGGCUUAGGCGAACACCGAUAGCAGUAACCUCUGGCAGGA
RNAcentral lists this ribosomal RNA (1050 nucleotides) under unidentified archaeon. RNAcentral's name for it is "16S ribosomal RNA". The record is from RNAcentral.